Non-coding RNA from Podarcis lilfordi (Lilford's wall lizard), 76 nucleotides. The record is from the annotation of a GenBank genome assembly. Lineage: Eukaryota; Metazoa; Chordata; Lepidosauria; Squamata; Lacertidae.
GCUAUGGUAGAAGGGUCAUUGAUCAAACAUCUGCUUUGCAUGCAGAAGGUUCCAGGUUCAAUCCCCGGCAUCUCCA